GAUGAACGCUAGCGACAGGCUUAACACAUGCAAGUCGAGGGGCAGCGGGGGAGGAAGCUUGCUUUCUCCUGCCGGCGACCGGCGCACGGGUGAGUAACACGUAUGCAACCUGGCCGUCACAGGUGGAUAACCGGAAGAAAUUCCGACUAAUACAGCAUAACACUCCUGAGGGACAUCCUUCGGGAGUCAAAGGAGGUAACUCCGGUGACGGAUGGGCAUGCGGCGCAUUAGGUAGUUGGUAGGGUAACGGCCUACCAAGCCGACGAUGCGUAGGGGUUCUGAGAGGAAGGUCCCCCACACUGGUACUGAGACACGGACCAG
RNAcentral lists this ribosomal RNA (321 nucleotides) under uncultured bacterium. RNAcentral's name for it is "bacterial SSU rRNA". It matches the Rfam family "Bacterial small subunit ribosomal RNA", at positions 28 to 334 of the family's 1533-position model. The record is from RNAcentral.